Non-coding RNA from Mesorhizobium ciceri biovar biserrulae WSM1271, 73 nucleotides. The record is from Rfam. NCBI's taxonomy places the organism in Bacteria, Pseudomonadati, Pseudomonadota, Alphaproteobacteria, Hyphomicrobiales, Phyllobacteriaceae.
GCCGCUUUAGCUCAGUUGGUAGAGCACCGCAUUCGUAAUGCGGGGGUCGCGUGUUCGAGUCACGCAAGCGGCA